RNAcentral lists this ribosomal RNA (434 nucleotides) under uncultured Methylobacterium sp. RNAcentral's name for it is "partial 16S ribosomal RNA". It matches the Rfam family "Bacterial small subunit ribosomal RNA", at positions 341 to 792 of the family's 1533-position model. The record is from RNAcentral. Lineage: Bacteria; Pseudomonadati; Pseudomonadota; Alphaproteobacteria; Hyphomicrobiales; Methylobacteriaceae.
ACGGGAGGCAGCAGUGGGGAAUAUUGGACAAUGGGCGCAAGCCUGAUCCAGCCAUGCCGCGUGAGUGAUGAAGGCCUUAGGGUUGUAAAGCUCUUUUGUCCGGGACGAUAAUGACGGUACCGGAAGAAUAAGCCCCGGCUAACUUCGUGCCAGCAGCCGCGGUAAUACGAAGGGGGCUAGCGUUGCUCGGAAUCACUGGGCGUAAAGGGCGCGUAGGCGGCCAUUCAAGUCGGGGGUGAAAGCCUGUGGCUCAACCACAGAAUUGCCUUCGAUACUGUUUGGCUUGAGUUUGGUAGAGGUUGGUGGAACUGCGAGUGUAGAGGUGAAAUUCGUAGAUAUUCGCAAGAACACCAGUGGCGAAGGCGGCCAACUGGACCAACACUGACGCUGAGGCGCGAAAGCGUGGGGAGCAAACAGGAUUAGAUACCCUGGUA